RNAcentral lists this transfer RNA (36 nucleotides) under Struthiola dodecandra. RNAcentral describes it as "partial transfer RNA-Phe". The record is from RNAcentral. Lineage: Eukaryota; Viridiplantae; Streptophyta; Magnoliopsida; Malvales; Thymelaeaceae.
CGGGAAGGUCAGCUGGUAGGCACACAAGGAUUAAUC